AGAACAGUUGGCAUCAGCUCUUAAUAAAGACAGGAAAAGCCUAACAAAGGCCUCUGAAGAGGCAAUAAACUUGUCCUCCAACUCCUCUUCUGACACCUUAUUUGCGGCUUCCAAUUCAUCAUCUCACUCCUCCACUGACAUAGACACAUCGUCAGAUGAAAAACAUACCAGAGAGCCCAAAGUCCAAUACAUGUGGUGUCCCGAUACAAAAGUAUUCUGCAGCUCUUCAGAAGAGGAGGGAAUAUGGCUACAGGUUUCAAGCACUAUGGAGUGGACAGGAGCACAGUUGUCAUCACUGCUCCAAUUGCAGAGCUUUCUAUUGUUGCCCCUAGCAAGUAUAAAGAUGUCUUGGAAAACCUACAGCCAUCAGGUUAAGCUCUCUGU
Molecule: long non-coding RNA, 384 nt
Organism: Monopterus albus (swamp eel)
Lineage: Eukaryota; Metazoa; Chordata; Actinopteri; Synbranchiformes; Synbranchidae
Exons: 3
Source: RefSeq, a predicted model, not a curated record